Long non-coding RNA from Neopsephotus bourkii (Bourke's parrot), 591 nucleotides. RefSeq lists it as uncharacterized. The transcript is spliced from 4 exons. The record is from RefSeq and is a predicted model, not a curated record. NCBI's taxonomy places the organism in Eukaryota, Metazoa, Chordata, Aves, Psittaciformes, Psittacidae.
AGUAAGCAUUUGAUUAGAGAGUGAGGAAGAGAUGGUUGUAGAGUGAGAAAUCUGUGAUACUGCAGCUUUUUAUUUAAAUAAGCUUUUUAAUUUGAACAUAUGUUGAACAAGCAGGAUGGAUAAAUCAAAGAGCCUGUUUCCAUUAUAUGCAUAUUUUAUUAGUGCAAUCAGUGGGCUGAAUCUCUACUGGUACAUUACAUGCCUAGGAAUGCUUGCAGGAACUGUGGCCAGGUAGCAUGGGUUGGCCUGCGCCUGUAUGAGUGAACUCUCUCGGCCCUCAGGACUGAGUGCUCAUAUCCAGUCUGCCUAAUGCAAAUGCUCAUGGUGAUGCUCUGCCUCCCAGACUGUGCCUGGAAACUGGGAGGAUGUCAGUUGGCAGAAGCUUGAAGCAUGCAGAAGAACACGCUAAUGCCUUAACAAUAUUUUACAGUGAAAAUUAUCAAGAUACUUCUUUUUUGCCCCAAGUUUUAAAAUGCAGUGUCCUUGAAAAACACAAACUGCCUGGGGGAGCUGGCUGGACUGACUGGAUUGUUAGUGCAAGAAAUUAGCCAGUACCUCUGCUCAGGUCCAAGGUCAAACUGAGAACUUGAG